This 1920-nucleotide long non-coding RNA is filed under the name Homo sapiens (human). RNAcentral describes it as "HSALNT0040127". The record is from RNAcentral. Lineage: Eukaryota; Metazoa; Chordata; Mammalia; Primates; Hominidae.
UUGAAGCAAGUUGCUCCCAGUUGACUUUUGAGAUCUGUCGUGUUUGCCUGCAGCUUGGCCAGGAAGCAAAAAGUAAGCCUCGUUGUUCUCGUGCAUUGAAGUAUACUACUAUAUUGUUAGAACAUCUAAUGAUCAGCAAAUUCUUAAUGACAAGAGCUUCUUUUAUCUGUCCACCCCCUAUUAAGUCUGCCUCUCCUAUUGUAGAGAUGAGCCUUAAAGGUAGAGGUUGAGAGUUGGUCAGGAAAAGGCAAAUAAGAAUGGAAGAGGAGAAACUAGACCUUCCCAAUGAGAUAUGGGCCAUACAUCUGCACACUGUCUCCAUCUGCCAUCCAAUCUGGCCACCCAAAUUGUUCCACUUAGCAUGGAGAGUCCCUGGGGAGAGUCCCAGGACACAGUCCGAGGCAACACCUGGGUCCCCUCAGCCACUGAUAAGUCCUUUGUAUCUCUGGAUGUUUCCUGAAAAGGCUGGAUGCUUCCAGUUCAGAAUCCCCGCCCCCACUCCCAUCUAAGGAGAUGUCAUAUAAUUCCAGAAGCCAGCCUCACCUUUAAAGCGUCAAGCCCCUUCCCAAACACCUCUCAAAUCGCAAGUCACCUGGAUCCUCAGAGGGCUACACGUCUCAGCCUGCCUGCACCACCCCAGAGGUCCCCAGUGGAUGGAGAAUGCCUAACUGCUUGCGGUACCCAGAUCUCGGCUGAGAUUUCUCCCCUCUGUCCUGCAACCUGAGCUGUGUGUGGUUUAGUCUAAUUCCUUCCGAGUCUGUGCAGCCCUCGCUGGAACCGAUUCUAAGCUAUCUGGUGCCCUCUGCUGGACAACUGCAAUCAUGGCCAAAGUCCAGUUUCCCAGAGUCCCAGGGAAGCAGAGGAAACACCUCCCCAGAUUAUUUUAAUUCUCUCCAAUUCCAACCUGCCCCUAUUUGCACUAAAAGGAUUCCAGGUGUGUUAUGAGGUUUGCAUCAUGUGGUGAGAAGAAUUCAGGACUAUGAACUAGCUCUAAUUCAAUUAAGCCCCGAGCUUUGUGUCCUAGGCAAAUUACUCAUGCUGUUUCCUCAGUUGUAAAAGAGCAAUGACCAACUGCCUUGGAGGUUGGUUACCUGGAUUAAAUAUGUUAAUGGAUGUAGAGCUCCUAAAUGUAGCCAACCCCAAAGAUGGGACACAAUUUUAUCUCUAUGACUCUGUCAUUCAUGAUGUUAUUAAAUUCAAUCUAAAAUUAAAUCUGUCUAUCAUGAUGACUGCACCACCUCAAAAAAUACUGCUGUCACAUGUGGGUCCAUUUCUUCUUUCUGCCCUAGAAUUGUGUCUGUGCGAUAAAAAGGACUUUGUUCCACCCAUAUUCCAACCCCAAUCUGCCUGUAGUAAAGACAGAUGGCAGCUCAAUGGUCUCUAGAAUGAUCAUUCCUAUGUUGCAUUUGCCCAGAGGAUGGGUGGUAAGAAGCACCCUGGACAUUUUCCAUCCUAGCCUGCCCCUCUAGGGGUGUGAAUGUCCACCAGCCACUUAGAGGUCAUAUGGUUCUAGAAAGAACCUUUAGUGGUCCACAGCCAUCCAGCCAGAUGUUCAAUGAGCUGUCAAAUUAUUGGAGCUUGAGCUCUCAGAUGAAGUGUAAGAGUAGAAAGGUCAUGAGGGUCCCAAAGAUGCUGUGUCUAUCUUAUGCUACUAUCCGCCUAUAUGAAUUGACCUCUGAGCCUCCCAAGUGUUCCUCAAUCUACACCUUGUAGGCGGUCUGCCUAUGCCUGCUGCAGCCCUCCCCACCUCCAAGAGUUACCAGAGAGACUCUAUAAGCUGGAAACAGUAAACUAAAGCUCAGAGAUGUAUGGCAGACUCACGUCCCUUUAGACACAACAGUAAACACCCCCCCGCCAAAAAAAAACAUAACUCAUUUUCUCAGCCACCUUUGCAGCUAGGGGUGAAUAUGUGAUACGAAU